Molecule: ribosomal RNA, 402 nt
Filed under: bacterium
Lineage: Bacteria
Description: partial 16S ribosomal RNA
Rfam family: Bacterial small subunit ribosomal RNA
Source: RNAcentral
UGGGGAAUUUUGCACAAUGGGGGAAACCCUGAUGCAGCGACGCCGCGUGAUUUAGAAGGCCUUCGGGUUGUAAAAAUCUUUUUUACGGGAUGAAAAUGACAGUACCGUAAGAAUAAGGUCCGGCUAAAUACGUGCCAGCAGCCGCGGUAAUACGUAUGGACCGAGCGUUGUCCGGAAUCAUUGGGCGUAAAGGGUACGUAGGCGGCCUAGUAAGUUAGAAGUGAAAUAAUAUAGCUCAACUAUAUAAAGCUUUUAAAACUGCUAGGCUUGAGAGAUGGAAGGGAAAGUGGAAUUCCUAGUGUAGCGGUGAAAUGCGCAGAUAUUAGGAAGAAUACCGGUGGCGAUGGCGACUUUCUGGUCAUCAUCUGACGCUGAGGUACGAAAGCGUGGGUAGCAAACAGG